This 253-nucleotide ribosomal RNA is filed under the name uncultured bacterium. RNAcentral describes it as "partial 16S ribosomal RNA". It matches the Rfam family "Bacterial small subunit ribosomal RNA", at positions 524 to 776 of the family's 1533-position model. The record is from RNAcentral.
UACGGAGGGUGCAAGCGUUAUCCGGAUUCACUGGGUUUAAAGGGUGCGUAGGCGGAUAUUUAAGUCAGUGGUGAAAUCCUGGAGCUUAACUCCUGAACUGCCAUUGAUACUAUUUAUCUUGAAUAUUGUGGAGGUUUGCGGAAUAUGUCAUGUAGCGGUGAAAUGCAUAGAUAUGACAUAGAACACCUAUUGCGAAGGCAGCAGGCUACACAUAUAUUGACGCUGAGGCACGAAAGCGUGGGGAUCAAACAGG